GGAAGUAAAAGUCGUAAUAAGGUUUCCGUAGGUGAACCUGCGGAAGGAUCAUUAUUGAAUGAAACACUUCUGGCUUUAUGCUGUUGUGCUGGCCCUUUGGGCAAUGUGCACACGGCUCUGGUCACUUGUUUCUUCUGUUCCACCUGUGCACUGCCUGUAGACACGCUGUGUCUAUGAUAUUUGUUAACACACAACAAUGUUAGUUGGCAUGUUAUAUAUAAUAAUAAAAUAUACAACUUUCAACAACGGAUCUCUUGGCUCUC
RNAcentral lists this unclassified non-coding RNA (263 nucleotides) under plant metagenome. Its description in RNAcentral is "partial contains small subunit ribosomal RNA, internal transcribed spacer 1, and 5.8S ribosomal RNA". The stretch from base 1 to 54 matches the Rfam family "Eukaryotic small subunit ribosomal RNA", at positions 1778 to 1831 of the family's 1831-position model. The record is from RNAcentral.